ACAUCGUUUUUUCCACGAUCAUGGAACAUUGGAGGCUCUGCCCUAGCUUUAAAGUAUUUCAUCUUCACUGAGCGUCUCCUCUGUUUUAGAACACGUGGAGGAUCCCAUUGCAGAGACGUGUGCUUUUGAACUUUAUGACAAACAUCCCACGAAAACGAGUCCAGCUGAAAGCUUCCGCAGCAACUCACAAACUGCUCAGAAACCCAGGGUUGAUUUAGCGUCUGACGGCAUCUCUACACUGAUGGACAGUCCAGACUCCAUAGCACACCGCUCCCCCUCUCUACUGAUGAACAUUAAAGGAUUUUCUGACAGUGGCUCCGCCUCCUGUCGCACUAAACGGAAGAAAGACGAGAACCAUAGAGAGAGGGUCGAAGGGAUGAGGGACAGAGGUGAGGAGUGUGUGAAGAUGGAGCCGUUUGAUUGUCAGGUUCCCUCAGUUGAAAGUGGGAUUUGUGACCAAAGAACAGACGUUUCUGAUGCGAGUCCAGUUUUUAAGAAGCCAAACAGGAACUCUGACUGUGGUGUUACUGGCAGAAGAAGCUCAGCUGGAGAACAUCUACACACCGAUAAACACAGUGAGUGUUUUCUUCUGCGUGUGUUGAAUAGUUUUAAUGGAUUUACUCACAGAAAAGAUGAACUGUGUUCCUCAGCUGUGAAGGUGGAGCCCACGUGGAGCAUCGACCCUGCACUCGCUCUGUCUGAGUACGACCAGGAGGAUGAUGAAGAGCAGAGACGUGCAGAGCUAACAGACACCGACUGUACGUGGGUCAGUCACAGUUUACUACAACACAGAGGGGUGAUCGACCACAGCAGAGGAGAGGGAGUCACUGGUCUGGGCAGGAAAGCAAACGACAGCUUGGAUUUGAUGUUUGACGCUUCAGCGUGUGGAGAAUACAAGUCCUUUACCAGCUCACACUUGGGGCGGAGCCAGGUCUGUGAAGAGGAGGAGGAGGAGGAGGAAGAAGAAGAAGAGAAGAAGAGGAAUGAUGCUCACCCUUUAGAUUCUCCUGAACACUCCAUGCACCAGAGGAAAGCUGGAGCGCCGAGCUUUGCCCACGUGGCGGUGAUCCGGAAGAAAGACGAGAGACGGAAGCUGAAAGGAACCACCUGUAAAGAAUGUGACACUUAUUACGCUGACCUACCAGAGGAGGAAAGAAAGAGGAAGUUGGCCUCGUGCUCCAGGCAUCGUUUCCUUUACAUUCCCCCGAGUACGCCUGAAAACUUCUGGGAGGUUGGAUUUCCUUCAACGCAAACGUGCAUCGACAGAGGUUAUAUCCGUGAAGAGAAGAAUCCUGAGUUGUGUUCCAGACGUAGAAAUCCACUCAGUGCUUUAUUUUCUCCUAAAAGUCGUGAGCAGGAAGGUCGACACAUUUCUCCCUGAGUACGAAUGUUUAUGAAGAACAGGUGAGAGUAAGAU
RNAcentral lists this long non-coding RNA (1417 nucleotides) under Gouania willdenowi (blunt-snouted clingfish). Its description in RNAcentral is "lncRNA (ENSGWIG00000021461.1)". Lineage: Eukaryota; Metazoa; Chordata; Actinopteri; Blenniiformes; Gobiesocidae. The record is from RNAcentral.